RNAcentral lists this ribosomal RNA (253 nucleotides) under uncultured bacterium. Its description in RNAcentral is "partial 16S ribosomal RNA". It matches the Rfam family "Bacterial small subunit ribosomal RNA", at positions 1239 to 1500 of the family's 1533-position model. The record is from RNAcentral.
CGAGAAGGCAGCUACACGGCGACGUGAUGCUAAUCCCCAAAACCUCUCUCAGUUCGGAUUGGAGUCUGCAACCCGACUCCAUGAAGCUGGAUUCGCUAGUAAUCGCGCAUCAGCCACGGCGCGGUGAAUACGUUCCCGGGCCUUGUACACACCGCCCGUCAAGCCAUGGGAGCCGGGGGUACCUGAAGUGCGUAACCGCGAGGAGCGCCCUAGGGUAAAACUGGUGACUGGGGCUAAGUCGUAACAAGGUAUC